Long non-coding RNA from Dreissena polymorpha, 504 nucleotides. RefSeq lists it as uncharacterized. The record is from RefSeq and is a predicted model, not a curated record. The transcript is spliced from 3 exons. Lineage: Eukaryota; Metazoa; Mollusca; Bivalvia; Myida; Dreissenidae.
CGCUAACUUUGACUUUCGAUUUCAAGUACAAUGUAUUUCAUAAAAUACGUUGUAACUUACAACGCAGAAGGUUUAAUCAGAUAGGAAGCAAAGAAUGCAAUCCAAGACAUGAAGUGCCCAAAACAGGACUGUGGGACUGAAGGCCCUGGGAAAUUCUGUCACAAAUGUGGCGCUAAGAGAAUAACAGAAGAAGAGAUUCUUCUGAGCAAACCAGACGUGAUUAUAUGUUCGGGGACAGAUGAGGAUGGAAAGCAAUGUGGAUCACCUCUAAAACCAGAUCAGACGUUUUGCGAAAAUUGUGGAGCAAACGUUGUGGAAUUGGUCAAAAAUAGCUGCUGUGCAACAUGUGGUAGUGUCUUAACCCCCGGAAGUACCUGCCUUAAAUGCAAAUCAGUUGUAAAUCAAGAUACAUUAGUACCGCUGGAAAGUUUACAAGCAUGUGAAGGUUCACCGUUUUCCUCUACGCCAACACCUGAAAAGGAUUAUUCUGAAAAAAAGGAUCCU